GACGAACGCUGGCGGCGUGCUUAACACAUGCAAGUCGAACGAUGAAGCUGGAGCUUGCUCCGGUGGAUUAGUGGCGAACGGGUGAGUAACACGUGAGCAAUCUGCCCUUGACUCUGGGAUAACUGCGGGAAACUGUAGCUAAUACCGGAUACGAGGCUCGCAGGCAUCUUCGGGUCUGGAAAGAAUUUCGGUCAAGGAUGAGCUCGCGGCCUAUCAGCUUGUUGGUGAGGUAAUGGCUCACCAAGGCGACGGCGGGUAGCCGGCCUGAGAGGGUGACCGGCCACACUGGGACUGAGACACGGCCCAGACUCCUACGGGAGGCAGCAGUGGGGAAUAUUGCACAAUGGGCGAAAGCCUGAUGCAGCAACGCCGCGUGAGGGAUGAAGGCCUUCGGGUUGUAAGCCUCUUUUAGCAGGGAAGAAGCGAAAGUGACGGUACCUGCAGAAAAAGCACCGGCUAACUACGUGCCAGCCGCCGCGGUAA
This 483-nucleotide ribosomal RNA is filed under the name uncultured bacterium. RNAcentral's name for it is "partial 16S ribosomal RNA". It matches the Rfam family "Bacterial small subunit ribosomal RNA", at positions 28 to 523 of the family's 1533-position model. The record is from RNAcentral.